Molecule: RNA transcript, 4831 nt
Organism: Myotis myotis
Lineage: Eukaryota; Metazoa; Chordata; Mammalia; Chiroptera; Vespertilionidae
Gene: LANCL1
Gene name: LanC like 1
Exons: 11
Source: RefSeq, a predicted model, not a curated record
CGAAGGUUCUGAUUGGUCCCUCUGGGAGGAAGCGCGCGGGGACAGCGCCGUUUCUGUUACGGUCCGCAGGCCGCGGGGCUCGCCGCCGGCGCCAUGGCGCAGAGGGCCUUCCCGAACCCCUACGCCGACUAUAACAAGUCCCUGGCCGAAGGCUACUUCGAUCCCGAAGGGCGGCUGACUCCUGAGUUCUCACAGCGCUUGAACAAUAAGAUUCGAGAGCUUCUGCAGCAAAUGGAGAGAGGCCUGAAGUCAGCAGACCAUCGGGAUGGCACCGCUUACACUGGCUGGACAGGUAUUGCUGUGCUUUACUUACAUCUCUAUGAUGUGUUCGGGGACCCUGCCUACCUCCAGAUGGCACAUAGCUACGUAAAGCAAAGUCUGAACUGUUUGUCCAAGCGUUCCAUCACCUUCCUUUGUGGGGAUGCAGGCCCUCUGGCUGUUGCCGCUGUGGUGUAUCACAAGAUGAGCAAUGAGAAACAGGCAGAAGAUUGCAUCACCCGGCUAAUUCACCUAAAUAAAGUUGAUCCCCACGCUCCAAAUGAAAUGCUCUAUGGACGAGUGGGCUACAUCUACGCUCUUCUCUUUGUGAACAGGAACUUUGGAGUAGAAAAGAUUCCUCAACGCCACAUUCAGCAGGUUUGUGAAACAGUCUUAACAUCUGGAGAAAACCUAGCUAGAAAGAGAAACUUCACAGCAAAGACUCCGCUGAUGUAUGAGUGGUACCAAGAAUAUUAUGUGGGGGCUGCUCAUGGCCUGGCAGGGAUUUACUACUUCCUGAUGCAGCCCUGCCUUCAAGUGAGCCCUGCCAUGCUACACAGCUUGGUCAAGCCCAGUGUAAACUAUGUCUGCCAGCUGAAGUUCCCUUCCGGCAAUUACCCUCCUUGUGUGGGCGACACUCGGGAUCUGCUGGUCCACUGGUGUCACGGUGCCCCUGGGGUCAUCUACAUGCUCCUCCAGGCCUAUAAGGUAUUCAAAGAGGAACAGUAUCUCAACGAUGCCUAUCAGUGUGCUGAUGUGAUCUGGCAGCAUGGGUUGCUGAAGAAGGGGUAUGGGCUGUGCCAUGGCACUGCGGGGAAUGCCUAUUCCUUCCUGGCGCUGUACAACGUCACCCAGGAUACCAAGUACCUGUACAGGGCCUGUAAGUUUGCUGAAUGGUGCUUAGAUUAUGGAGAUCAUGGAUGCAGAACACCAGACACCCCCUUCUCCCUCUUUGAAGUACAAGAGCUCAGUAUUAAAAAUCAGUGAGCACGUGGACUAGCACAAUCCUUAUACUAAUAGUCAUAGUGAUGACUACCAUUAUGGAGCCAGGCACGUGCUGGGCAUUAUGCAGAUGCCGUCAUAAAUCUCAGUGAAAACAUACAGACAUCACCCGCACGUCACCGAUGUGAAGACAGGUAGGGGACCCUCAGUGCUCACACAACCAAUGGCAGGGCUGUGCCUUGAACUUGUCUGGCUCCACGCUCCCUCCUGUCUUCCCCUGGAUGAAGCGGCUGAACACCUCACUGGUGAUCUCCUCUAAUAUUGAACUGCAAGGAACGAAUGGCUGGGACAAUAUAUUUCCUGGCUGAUCUCCUCGUGCCCUCGAAAGCCCGGUUUCCUGCAUUUGAGCUAUAAAAGGACAGCCUGCCCUGCAACUCAUGCAUGACCCUUCCUGUAUAUCAGACCUGAGCGAAAUGCUGUCAGUGCUUUUCAAUGAAACAGUCAAACUGUGUACUUGGUUUAGUUGAUUUUUUUUUCCAGAAUUUGUCUUUAGUUCACUUCCUUUUUUUUAUCAUUUAUUUUAUUUUAAAAUAUCCAAGGAAAUCCUUUAACUUUAACUUCGCUUUCUUCCAAAAAAGAAGCUGGGUGAUAUGUAUAAUAUUUUGAGGGCAUAUAUGUAUAUAUAUUUUAUAACUUGGAGGAAGUCUUGCUCUUAUUUAAGCUUAUGAAUAUAAUUGUCUGUUACUGUUCUAAAAAUGGUUAAAGAAACUGAAUAUAGAUAACAGAUAAAUAUAUGAUUAUUGUUGGACAUUGCCCUCUACCUCUGCUAUUUAGUAUUUUUCCUCCAACAGUUCAGUUUUAUGACUUUGCUUUUCUCUAUGUGGCUGAUUAUGAAAGAGAACAAAAAUAUAACUCUGUGCUUCCAGGACAAAAAUUGCAGGAGUUAAAAACUGCUCUAGCGACCUAAAUGCCAUUUUUUAAAUUCACAAUGUUAAUUUAAACUAGAGAUCAGCAUACUCUGACAUUUGCCCCUUUUUGUUAGGAAAGCAUCCAGGCUCUAGUUGUGAAAAUGCUUUGAAGGUUUGUUCUAGAUAAGCUAACAAUAAGAGCUUAUUGUGUGUUAUUUUUCUAAAGUAAGCUAGUGCAGUUUGUAACUAUUUAUUUAAAUUUGUUUGUUCUCCAGAAUUAGUAUAAGAUCAGGAAACCAGUGUUCAGGCUGUGACUAUGUUGUAGCUGAGGACUUGAGUCCACCCUGUCCCACUGACCUUCUAAACUUUGAUUUGUUUCACUUGCUUGGCAGUGACUUUGCUUUCAUCUGGCUGUUUGGUGUGAGCCACGUUUCCCUUCCUAGCAAUCUAUCUGGAUGUAGGUCUUUUCACUAAGUAGUAAAGCAUUCUAAUUCUAUUUAAAAGGAGGGAGGGGUGCUGUGUGUAUAGCCAUUAGCUUGAAAAAAACAAAACACUAAGCUUUUGCUAUAAAUCCAGUGAUCAUGCUUAGAACAAAUGGAUCCUGCCUUUUUGCAUAUGUUAGGCUUUACAUUAAUCAAUUUCUGAGCCCUCAGAAUAGGGUAUUUAUAUAGUAGAUGCAGAAUCCCUGGUGCUUCAAGUCUGUACAAAUGUUUUGACUCAUCAGCUUCUACUCCUCCUUCCAUUGCUGCCUUUCUCAAGCUUGUCUUAUUCUAUGUUUUGACUAAUUUUAGAACAUUUGCAGCUUUAAAAAAACAGGGUCUAAAAGUUUUAAAUGUGCCUAUCUCACAGCUCUCCCAGUCAUAAAAACAUGCUAUUUUUUAUUGGAAGUUUGAGCCAAAACCCCACUGAAUGUGUGUUGGUUCCUGCAGUCCCCUAUUGUUUUCCACAAAGCACCAAAAUAGCUAAUAUUAUUAGAAAUUGUCUAAGCCUUUAAACAGGGGUGGGGAACCUUUUUUCUGCCAAGGGCCAUUUGGAUAUUUAUAACACCAUUUGCAGGCCAAACAGAAUUAUCAACCUAAAAAUUAGCCUGCUAUAUUUGGUCAAACAUUUAAUUAACUCACCCCUAAUGCCUUGGCAGGGCCAGACCAAAUGAUAGCGUGGGCCUUAUAUGGGCCAGACUUUCCCCACCCCUGCUUUAAAGGCUACUGACAACAGGAUCUAAAAAACAGCCCACUACUCAAGUCCUAGGAUUCGCUUGUCCUCUGUGACUUGUGCUAUUCGGGGACAACCUGUGCCUCUUGGGUUUCUCAAGUGCUGCUGAGAGCCAUGUGCAAGCUCUCCCUUCCCAGGAACGUUUCAGCGGUGGUGUCAGCAUCCACAGGAAAGCUAAUUUGCCUUGGCUGGGUGUCUAACUGGAAGGAAUAAAACCCACUUGGUUUAGUUAAAUAUCUUACUCUACUGUGCCUGUACUUUAAGCAAUUAUAGUUACUAAAGGAAUAACAACAAAACAUAAUUUCUUAGCCAGAGACUUGAUCACAGUGCUUCUCCAAACAUCUUAGUCAGUUUAAACCCCAGGAAGACUUCAAGGCAGGGAAAAUAAUAUUUUGAAUAAGAUUCUUAUUAAUACUUGAAUUACAAUCUGGCUACUGUCAUCCAUUAUCAAAUUCAUCAAUAUAAACACAAUUCAAGUACCCUUUUUUUUCUUUUUAGGACUUACAAAACUGGCAGGAUUUGUGUCGUUUUUAAUGUUUAUGCAUAAGAGCUGAGAAAGUUGAUAGGAUUUUAACUUAGGCAAAGGCUAUAAACUAAGACCAUGAUAGAAACUGAAAGAAACUUUUACAUUAGCUUUCUUAGUUUUAAAAGGAAGAGGCAUCAUUUCAGUUGUAUUUCUGUUGUAUUAUUUUUCUCUCAUAUAUUUUUCUUUUUGGUGAAAAAAAACAAAAAACCUCCCCAAAACUUGCCUCCCAGAAAACUCAUUAGUGUGUCUCGUCUCCAUGAAAAGACUAGGUGGUAAAACCUUAAGAGCUUGCCGCACAGUGUUCGUUUGUCCUGCCUAUGUUUGUUCCUGUAGUGAUGAAAAUUGCAGUAGUUAACUUUUCAUCAUGGAAAAAAUGCUAACAUUAUCAUAACUAUCUUCAUCAAUACCAUUGGGCUUUGGUCUCCUCCAGGUUGUCUGUCUCUAAUCCUUAGAGUCAUUUGGCUCCCUUUUCUUCUCUGAUGUCAGUUCCAAUUAUUUGGCAUCAAAAGCCUUCAUGGUAGGUAGAGCGUUGGGUAAAAAUGGAUCGAAGACUCUUUUCUCUCCUUGUUACUACUUUCUUAUGUAACUGAAUGGACGGAGAUCCUUUGCUCCUAUGUCCUCAGGCUAAUUUGUGUCUAGUCUUGUGAUGCCCUGCUUUCUACUAGCUGACUUUGAAAUACAACAUGUGAAAAGUAGACAUUUGUUCAUCUAUUCCUUUGGCUACUAGAACUCUUCUGUAGUCCUUUUUACUUAUACUGAAUUACACUUCUGCUUCUCCUAAAUAGGUCAAAGCACCCCAUUUCUAUAUUACUAGGCUGUAGAACUGUUUCUCCCCAUAGGUAUAAAACUAAGUGUUUGGGAUAUUCAGGGAACCCACCCCAAUAUUAUAUUGCCAUUUAUUGGGAAGGGCUGGGAUCAUAUGUAUUUCUAUGUUCUGUAAAGGAUUUGACUUACUGGUUCUCAAUAAAAUUUUAUUAGGACUAUA